RNAcentral lists this non-coding RNA (31 nucleotides) under Mus musculus (house mouse). The record is from RNAcentral. Lineage: Eukaryota; Metazoa; Chordata; Mammalia; Rodentia; Muridae.
UCAUAGUAGGAAAGUUCUAUAAAGUGUGGUC